UACGGAGGAUGCGAGCGUUAUCCGGAUUUAUUGGGUUUAAAGGGUGCGUAGGCGGAUCAAUAAGUCAGUGGUGAAAUUCUGCAGCUUAACUGUAGACUUGCCAUUGAUACUGUUGGUCUUGAGUAUGGUCAAGGUAGGCGGAAUGUGUAAUGUAGCGGUGAAAUGCUUAGAUAUUACACAGAACACCGAUUGCGAAGGCAGCUUGCUGGGCCAAUACUGACGCUGAUGCACGAAAGCGUGGGGAUCGAACAGGAUUAGAUACCCUGGUAGUCCACGCCGUAAACGAUGAUCACUCGCUGUUAGCGAUAUACAGUUAGCGGCUAAGCAAAAGCAUUAAGUGAUCCACCUGGGGAGUACGGCCGCAAGGCUGAA
This 372-nucleotide ribosomal RNA is filed under the name uncultured bacterium. RNAcentral's name for it is "bacterial SSU rRNA". It matches the Rfam family "Bacterial small subunit ribosomal RNA", at positions 524 to 898 of the family's 1533-position model. The record is from RNAcentral.